Molecule: ribosomal RNA, 321 nt
Filed under: uncultured eukaryote
Lineage: Eukaryota
Description: partial 18S ribosomal RNA
Rfam family: Eukaryotic small subunit ribosomal RNA
Source: RNAcentral
CCCUUAGAUGUCCUGGGCCGCACGCGCGCUACACUGACAUGUUCAACAAGCCUCCUAGUUCGACAGGAUUUGGGAAAUCUUUGAACGCAUGUCGUGAUAGGGAUAGAUCAUUGCAAUUAUUGAUCUUGAACGAGGAAUUCCUAGUAAACGCGAGUCAUCAGCUCGCAUUGAUUACGUCCCUGCCCUUUGUACACACCGCCCGUCGCACCUACCGAUUGAAUGUUUCGGUGAAGGUUCCGGAUAGGACUUUUUUGAUUUAUUUCAAUUUUGUCUUAAAAGCUAUCUAAACCUCAACAUUUAGAGGAAGGUGAAGUCGUAACA